This 225-nucleotide ribosomal RNA is filed under the name uncultured bacterium. Its description in RNAcentral is "partial 16S ribosomal RNA". It matches the Rfam family "Bacterial small subunit ribosomal RNA", at positions 15 to 241 of the family's 1533-position model. The record is from RNAcentral.
GAUCAUGGCUCAGGAUGAACGCUGGCGGCGUGCCUAAUACAUGCAAGUCGAACGAAUCUCUUUUAGAGAUGAGUGGCGAACGGGUGAGUAAUACAUAGGUAACCUGCCCCUGUGCGGGGGAUAACAGGAGGAAACUCCUGCUAAUACCGCAUAGCCAUGAGCACCGCAUGGAGCUCAUGCCAAAUAUCCUUUCGGGGAUAGCGCAGGGAUGGACCUAUGGCGCUA